GUGUAGAUAGUAUAAUAAAUAUGUUAGAUUUAGGUUCUAAAGAUUAAAUACACU
This 54-nucleotide transfer RNA is filed under the name Poteriostomum imparidentatum. RNAcentral describes it as "tRNA-Leu". Lineage: Eukaryota; Metazoa; Nematoda; Chromadorea; Rhabditida; Strongylidae. The record is from RNAcentral.